GACGAACGCUGGCGGCGUGCUUAACACAUGCAAGUCGAACGAUGAACCCGGAGCUUGCUCCGGUGGAUUAGUGGCGAACGGGUGAGUAACACGUGGGUGAUCUACCCUGCACUUCGGGAUAAGCCUGGGAAACUGGGUCUAAUACCGGAUAGGACCACUGCCUGCAUGGGUGGUGGUGGAAAGCUUUUGCGGUGUGGGAUGGGCCCGCGGCCUAUCAGCUUGUUGGUGGGGUGAUGGCCUACCAAGGCGACGACGGGUAGCCGGCCUGAGAGGGUGACCGGCCACACUGGGACUGAGAUACGGCCCAGACUCCUACGGGAGGCAGCAGUGGGGAAUAUUGCACAAUGGGCGCAAGCCUGAUGCAGCGACGCCGCGUGAGGGAUGACGGCCUUCGGGUUGUAAACCUCUUUCAGCACCGACGAAGCGCAAGUGACGGUAGGUGCAGAAGAAGGACCGGCCAACUACGUGCCAGCCGCCGCCGUAA
This 484-nucleotide ribosomal RNA is filed under the name uncultured bacterium. RNAcentral's name for it is "partial 16S ribosomal RNA". It matches the Rfam family "Bacterial small subunit ribosomal RNA", at positions 28 to 523 of the family's 1533-position model. The record is from RNAcentral.